Gadus chalcogrammus (walleye pollock) is the source of this 533-nucleotide long non-coding RNA. RefSeq lists it as uncharacterized. The record is from RefSeq and is a predicted model, not a curated record. NCBI's taxonomy places the organism in Eukaryota, Metazoa, Chordata, Actinopteri, Gadiformes, Gadidae. The transcript has 3 exons.
CGAGGUUGGAGUGGCUUGGUGUUGCGUUGAAGACAAGUUCUUCUUCCUACUUUGCAGCGUGAAUUACCUGGAUGCGUUUAAUAGUCAAAUAUGACUAUUGUAAUUAUGUUAUUUUGAAAAUGGACGUAUUAUCUGCAUAACUACCACUAUAAGCCAAGGAAGCAUUUCGCAGGAGCUCCCAAUUAAUUCAAUCUGGACUGAGGAUUCCUGACGAGUCAAAAUGGUUCACGUAUACAACUGCCAUCCUUUUGCGUCGCAACAAAUCGUACAGGUGGAACAGGAACCAGGACUUUUGUGCUCCGGUGGAGGAGUUAUAUUUGUUGUGGCCACAGGAGGAUGCAAGGUUACAUCGAAUUUUAUUGUUUUUGUCUGGUUUCGAUUAACUUAAUCAUUUGCAAUCACAAAACAAAAUACUCCUUUUUUUUCAUUGGAUCAUUAUUCAAUUUCCCGUUGAGCGUUGUUAAAGGUCCUGCAAUGAUGAAAGCAGAACAGGUUUUUCUGUACACACUGAACUGAAAUCCAGAUGUCCAAUU